GACGAACGCUGGCGGCGUGCCUAACACAUGCAAGUUGAGCGACGAACCAGGCUUCGGCCUGGGGCAAAGCAGCGAACGGGUGAGUAACACGUGGGUAACCUACCCCGAUGAUUGGGACAACCCGAGGAAACUCGGGCUAAUACCGAAUGUGCUCGUUGGACAUCAGUCCGACGCGUAAAGGAAGCUUCGGCCUCCGCAUCGGGAGGGGCCCGCGGCCCAUUAGCUAGUUGGUGAGGUAACGGCUCACCAAGGCAACGAUGGGUAGCUGGUCUGAGAGGACGAUCAGCCACACUGGGACUGAGACACGGCCCAGACUCCUACGGGAGGCAGCAGUGGGGAAUCUUGCGCAAUGCGCGAAAGCGUGACGCAGCAACGCCGCGUGGGGGAAGAAGGCCUUCGGGUUGUAAACCCCUUUCAGGAGGGACGAAGGUUCGGCGGUGAAUAGCCGACCGGACUGACGGUACCUCCACAAGAAGCCCCGGCUAACUACGUGCCAGCCGCCGCCGUAAAAC
RNAcentral lists this ribosomal RNA (512 nucleotides) under uncultured bacterium. RNAcentral's name for it is "bacterial SSU rRNA". It matches the Rfam family "Bacterial small subunit ribosomal RNA", at positions 28 to 526 of the family's 1533-position model. The record is from RNAcentral.